AUGGCCAAGGCGUUGUACGACAACAUGCCCGAGUCCCCCGAGGAGCUGGCCUUCCGGAAAGGGGACAUCCUGACCGUGAUUGAGCAGAACACUGGCGGCCUGGAGGGCUGGUGGCUCUGCUCCCUGCAUGGCCGCCAAGGCAUCGCCCCCGGCAACCGCCUGAAGCUGCUCAUCGGACCAAUGUUCGAGGCUCAGUCGUCGGCCGCCGCCGCCGCCCAGUCUCCUCCUCAGAGCUACCAGCAGAAGGCCGGCUCAGGGGCUCCGGGGCUUUACCAGAUGCCUUCGUCCCUGCAGAGUCCACAGCAGCAGCAGCAGCAGCAGCAGCAGAGCAUCUACCAGGUUCCUCCAGGACAGGAAGUCUACCAGGUCCCACCGAGGAGCACUCUGGCUGCAGAUAAAACACCCAGCAAGGUGGUGACCCCGACCAGAGUGGGACAGUCCUACACUUACAGCCCGGGACAGCACAACCAGCAGGACCUCUACGACGUCCCACCCAGUAGAUCACAGGGGGUGUACGAUAUUCCACCUGGUCAGAUGUUCUCGGGUCAACAAGCCGGAGCCAGAAACCAGGGAGUCUACGACGUUCCCCCGUCACAAAUGGACCUCCGGACACAAGGAGUUUAUGACAUACCUCCGUCCUCACAAGGGGUCUACUCGGUGCCUCCCUGCAGGACUAAUCCUGCCCUCCAAGAGGGGAACUACGACUUCCCGCAGCCUCUCAAGCACAAGCAGGAGGGCAUCUACGACGUCCCUCCCGCCGCCCUCACCAAACCAGCACAGAGCCCCCAGUCUCACUACGAUUUCCCCCCGAGCUCUGAGCCUUCUGCCCAUCACCAACAUCCAAACGUCAACGGCAACGAGGGCAUCUACGACGUGCCCCCGCCGGCCCUUCAUUCGGGGGCGGGGUCUCAGCGGGACGUGUACGACAUCCCCCGCGGCAUGCAGCCGUCCCAGCACAGAACCUCACCCGCCGACAGGGAUGGAAGUAAAGGAAUCUACGACAUCCCGGCUCAGGACGCCCGUGCGGUCGCGGACGUGACGGACGGCGUGAACCGGCUGUCGUUCUCCAGCACUGGCAGCACUCGCAGCAGCAUGUCCACCUCCUCGUCCUCCACCGGCUCCAGCUCCGAGGGCCGCCUGGCUCUGGACCUGGACGCUGCCGUGCAGAGGUUGUACCGCCUGCAGCAGGCAGUGGACCUCUCGGUCGGGGCUUUACAUUCAAUGGCAGCUUCGCCUCACUGGAGGACUUUUCCCUUCAUGGAGCGCCACGCUAACGACGUCCGCACGGUGCUGGACAGAGUCCGGGCUGCUCUGGGGGACUUCAUUGUGUUCGGUAGAGGAGCUGCAGUUAACGCCACAUCUCUAUCAGACUCCGGCCUGCACAGUAAGCUCAGAAGGCAGCUGGGUCGCCUGGAGGACUCGCAGCAGAUCCUUCUACAGAUCUACCAAGUCCUGGAGAACUGCAGCUGGGCUCUGAACGCCCUCGCCUCGUCUGGGAAGCACCACAACAAGAGCGACGACCUGGACCGCUUCGUCAUGGUCUCCAGGACGGUUCCCGACGACGCCAAGCAGCUGGCCUCCACGAUAGGCAGCAACGCCGAGCUGCUGUUCCGGCGGACGCACAUGGACGGGUCUUAUUCUGUGGGCAGCUCACCUGACGAGAACAUGAUCCACCCGCUCACCUCCCCCUCCUCAGAUAACGACAACUACGGCGGCCAGACCAAGCCCUUCCCUGUUCCCUCCAGCCAGGACAAAGACAACAUGAACAGUGAGAAGUGCGUGAAGAGCUGGAUGGAGGACUACGACUACGUACAUUUGCAGGGCAAAGAAGACUUUGAACGUCAGCAGAAGGAGCUGUUGGAGAAAGAAAACAUCAUCAAGCAGAGUCAAGUUCAGCUGGGUCAGGAACAGAUUAAUCAGUUCAAGAAGCUGGAGCAGGAUGUGAUCAAGCCCGUGGAGAACGACAUCACGCAGUGGAUUUCACACCAACACUCGGGGAUGACCUCGGCCUCCCCCUCAGACUCCUCACCCAUCUCCCCCUCCACCCCCGUGUGCGCUCGGGACCGCCAGCUGCUCAGCUUCUACUCCGAGCAGUGCGAGCAGCACUUCGUCACGCUCCUCAGCGCCGUGGACGCCUUCUUCGGCUGCGUCAGCGCCGGUCAGCCUCCUCGCAUCUUCGUCGCGCACAGCAAGUUCGUCAUCCUCAGCGCCCACAAACUGGUCUUCAUCGGAGACACUCUGUCCAGACAGGCCUCGGUGCCCGAGGUGGCCAACAGGGUGAUGAACUCCAGCAACGUGCUGUGUGAUCUGUUAAAGACGGUGGUGGCUGCGACGAAAACGGCCGCCCUAAACUACCCCAACACAGCUGCCAUCCAGGAGAUGGUGGACCGAGUCACUGACCUCUCACACCACGCACAGCAGUUCAAAGAACAGCUGCUGCAAAUGGCUAAUUUGUGAUUUUCAAUCGUGUCGCUCCUGUACAUUUCACCGUUUGUACAUUAAUCUGGCAUAAAUAUAUAUAUAUUUGCAGUAUAUAUAUGUUGCUCUCCAUCCUUAGGCCCGUUUUAGACGUUGUAAAUAGUCUCCGUUCUGUAAAUACCUGCUCUAUUUUUGUGUAGAUUGUUUUAUAUUAUGGUAUGAAUAUAUAUGUAGAUGCAGUACUGCUGUCUCCGUAGGAUCAUGUGGACAUUUUUCAUAACAUUCCUGUUGCAUAUUAUGAAGCACCUUAUGAGAUGUCCUGUUUUUCAUUUCAACUGUAGAAUGUGGUUGAUGUGUCUUACUGCUGGGUGUGACAGUAAAUCUCCUUGUAAAUCAUGUCAGUGUCGAUGUGUGUGGAGCUCUCCACAAAGUAAAGGACUGUUCUUAACCAUG
This is an RNA transcript of Stegastes partitus (bicolor damselfish), 2871 nucleotides long. It is a transcript of the gene named enhancer of filamentation 1-like, with no coding region annotated. The transcript is spliced from 7 exons. NCBI's taxonomy places the organism in Eukaryota, Metazoa, Chordata, Actinopteri, Pomacentridae. The record is from RefSeq and is a predicted model, not a curated record.